GAAAUGCGAUAAGUAAUGUGAAUUGCAGAAUUCCGUGAAUCAUCGAAUCUUUGAACGCACAUUGCGCCCUCUGGUAUUCCGGGGGGCAUGCCUGUCCGAGCGUCAUUGCGAACCCCUCAAGCACGGCUUGUGUGAUGGGCCCCGCGUCUUGGUCGUCAAGACGGGCCCGAAAUGCAGUGGCGGCUUCGCGGUUAUCCGAUCAGCCAGAGCGUAUGGGGACUCUCUCUCUUGUCACACGCCCGCGGCGCGGACCGACGCCUGUCGACCUUUAUUCAUCUUCUCUCGGUUGACCUCGGAUCAGGUAGGGAUACCCGCUGAACUUAAGC
This 326-nucleotide unclassified non-coding RNA is filed under the name plant metagenome. RNAcentral's name for it is "partial contains 5.8S ribosomal RNA, internal transcribed spacer 2, and large subunit ribosomal RNA". The stretch from base 1 to 105 matches the Rfam family "5.8S ribosomal RNA", at positions 50 to 154 of the family's 154-position model. The record is from RNAcentral.